Molecule: ribosomal RNA, 253 nt
Filed under: uncultured bacterium
Lineage: Bacteria
Description: partial 16S ribosomal RNA
Rfam family: Bacterial small subunit ribosomal RNA
Source: RNAcentral
UACGUAGGGACCGAGCGUUGUCCGGAUUCAUUGGGCGUAAAGAGCUCGUAGGCGGCUGCUCAAGUCGAAUGUGAAACCUCGAGGCUCAACCUCGAGCCUGCAUUCGAUACUGGGCGGCUAGAGUCUGGUAGGGGGAUCUGGAAUUCCUGGUGUAGCGGUGGAAUGCGCAGAUAUCGGGAGGAACACCAAUGGCGAAGGCAGCUCGCUGGGACGGUACUGACGCUGAGACGCGAAAGCGUGGGGAGCAAACAGG